GGAUACAUAACUCAGAAGGCAAGAGUGUCAUGUUGACAUCGUGAAAGUCACUGGUUCAAGUCCAGUUGUAUCCA
Molecule: transfer RNA, 74 nt
Filed under: Spermothamnion repens
Lineage: Eukaryota; Rhodophyta; Florideophyceae; Ceramiales; Ceramiaceae
Description: tRNA-Val
Rfam family: tRNA
About the family: Transfer RNA (tRNA) molecules are approximately 80 nucleotides in length. Their secondary structure includes four short double-helical elements and three loops (D, anti-codon, and T loops). Further hydrogen bonds mediate the characteristic L-shaped molecular structure. tRNAs have two regions of fundamental functional importance: the anti-codon, which is responsible for specific mRNA codon recognition, and the 3' end, to which the tRNAs corresponding amino acid is attached (by aminoacyl-tRNA synthetases). tRNAs cope with the degeneracy of the genetic code in two manners: having more than one tRNA (with a specific anti-codon) for a particular amino acid; and 'wobble' base-pairing, i.e. permitting non-standard base-pairing at the 3rd anti-codon position.
Source: RNAcentral